This 467-nucleotide ribosomal RNA is filed under the name uncultured bacterium. Its description in RNAcentral is "bacterial SSU rRNA". It matches the Rfam family "Bacterial small subunit ribosomal RNA", at positions 28 to 514 of the family's 1533-position model. The record is from RNAcentral.
GAUGAACGCUAGCGACAGGCCUAACACAUGCAAGUCGAACGGUAAAAUGGUAGCAAUACUAUUGAGAGUGGCGCACGGGUGAGUAACGCGUAUGCAACCUGCCUGUAACUGGGGGAUAGCUCCCUGAAAGGGGAUUAACACCGCAUAAGACCACGGCAUCGCAUGGUGCAGUGGUAAAAUAUUCAUAGGUUACAGAUGGGCAUGCGUGACAUUAGCUAGUUGGUGAGGUAACGGCUCACCAAGGCGACGAUGUCUAGGGGUUCUGAGAGGAUGAUCAGCCACACUGGGACUGAGACACGGCCCAGACUCCUACGGGAGGCAGCAGUGGGGAAUAUUGGACAAUGGGCGAAAGCCUGAUCCAGCCAUGCCGCGUGAGUGAUGAAGGCCCUAGGGUUGUAAAGCUCUUUCAGUGGGGAAGAUAAUGACGGUACCCACAGAAGAAGCCCCGGCUAACUUCGUGCCAGCAG